RNA transcript from Helianthus annuus (common sunflower), 1244 nucleotides. RefSeq lists it as uncharacterized. The record is from RefSeq and is a predicted model, not a curated record. NCBI's taxonomy places the organism in Eukaryota, Viridiplantae, Streptophyta, Magnoliopsida, Asterales, Asteraceae. The transcript has 7 exons.
CCUUAUUCUGCCCUUCAUACCACCGUCUCUCUCUCUCUCUCUACCAACAAUCGCUCUCACCAACCCUAUCUCCUUCUCGCAUAUGUCAUUCAGCGUUCUCUAACCCUAACCCUCACCAUUGGCGGAAGAUACCAACGAUUUGAUCCGUAAUACAGUAUUUUUUCAUUGCCAAUUUCUAGUUGCAACGAAGCCGAGAUUCAGGCUGAGGGUGUUUUUAAUCAAAGGAUUCAGAAUUUGGCUCUUAACCUCGACAAGGUUUUGAUGGUUUCAGAAGUGAAUUCUACAAAAUUAAACAAGACAAUUAUGACCCAGUUGGUCAAAGUUCAUAGAAACAUAGAUUUAGGGAUGAAGCUUCCUGUUUAUGAUGAAAGAAGAGCUCUUUACACAGCUGGAAGACUUCCCUUUAUAGCAAAAGAAUUCACUGUUACAAUUGAAGAUGAUAUAGAAUGGAUUGGCAUCACAAAAUGGACACCUAAGCGAAGUACGGUCCAGCAUUCGGGCUCACGACCCAUCUUCUUCCGAUGACGUCCUAGGGGCUCUUCGAAAAUCCUUAAUAUGGUAAACAAUGUUGUUCCUCCCAAAACGGGUUGACGCUCUUUUUGAAUUAACUAAAGGGCUUAUUAAGGAUCUGGAGGGAGAUUCAGACGAUGAGUUUUUUACUACCUUUUCAGUGGCAACGAAGUCGAGAUUCAGACUGAGGGUGUUUUUAAUCAAAGGAUCCAGAAUUUGGCUCUUAACCUGGACAAGGUGAGAUAUGUGAUGACAAACGUGUUUGGAGAUCCAAAACGCGCACCACCGUUAUUAGAGCAGCUUAGUCCGAAAAAAGUAGUUUCUCAUACCUGGAAAGGUGAGGGAUCGUUUGUCAAGGAACUUAUUCAAUGCAUUGCACCUCAUUUGGAAGAUGGACACCUAACCGAAGUACGGUCCAACAUUCGGGCUCACGACCCAUCUUCAUCUUCUUCUGAUGACGUCCUAGGGGCUCUUCGAAAAUCCUUAAUAUGGUAAACAAUGUUGUUCCUCCCAAAACGGGUUGGGUUGACGGUUUCCCCAUCAACAUUUUUACCAAGUUAUUUCUGUCUUACAAGUUGCGGGAUGAGGUGCGGAACCUUCCUUGCUCACCAAAAUGUCGACAUGAUGCUGCUGCAGACUUGAUACUCAUUUAAACUGUUUUGAAUAUAAAGUUAUAUGUGUUUUCUUUUUUUAGCGUUCAAUCCGUGUGAUACACGGGUAAUAACCUAGUAUGA